Molecule: unclassified non-coding RNA, 120 nt
Filed under: uncultured Archaeorhizomyces
Lineage: Eukaryota; Fungi; Ascomycota; Archaeorhizomycetes; Archaeorhizomycetales; Archaeorhizomycetaceae
Description: sequence contains ITS1
Source: RNAcentral
AUGAAUGGCCUCUGGGCCUUCAACCUUGCAAACCUGUGGAAGCAACAUGUGCUUCGGCGCUCCGGCGUCGCUUUUAUGCUACGAAUCAGUCUUUGUGUCUGAAUCAAACAAAAGAAAAUA